GGCUCAGAUUGAACGCUGGCGGCAGGCCUAGCACAUGCAAGUCGAGCGGUAGAGAGAAGCUUGCUUCUCUUGAGAGCGGCGGACGGGUGAGUAAUGCCUAGGAAUCUGCCUAGUGGUGGGGGAUAACGUCCGGAAACGGACGCUAAUACCGCAUACGUCCUACGGGAGAAAGCGGGGGAUCUUCGGACCUCGCGCCAUUAGAUGAGCCUAGGUCGGAUUAGCUAGUUGGUGAGGUAAUGGCUCACCAAGGCGACGAUCCGUAACUGGUCUGAGAGGAUGAUCAGUCACACUGGAACUGAGACACGGUCCAGACUCCUACGGGAGGCAGCAGUGGGGAAUAUUGGACAAUGGGCGAAAGCCUGAUCCAGCCAUGCCGCGUGUGUGAAGAAGGUCUUCGGAUUGUAAAGCACUUUAAGUUGGGAGGAAGGGCAGUAACCUAAUACGUUAUUGUUUUGACGUUACCGACAGAAUAAGCACCGGCUAACUUCGUG
This 491-nucleotide ribosomal RNA is filed under the name uncultured bacterium. Its description in RNAcentral is "bacterial SSU rRNA". It matches the Rfam family "Bacterial small subunit ribosomal RNA", at positions 21 to 507 of the family's 1533-position model. The record is from RNAcentral.